RNAcentral lists this transfer RNA (71 nucleotides) under Solirubrobacteraceae bacterium. RNAcentral describes it as "tRNA-Gln". It matches the Rfam family "tRNA". Rfam says of the family: Transfer RNA (tRNA) molecules are approximately 80 nucleotides in length. Their secondary structure includes four short double-helical elements and three loops (D, anti-codon, and T loops). Further hydrogen bonds mediate the characteristic L-shaped molecular structure. tRNAs have two regions of fundamental functional importance: the anti-codon, which is responsible for specific mRNA codon recognition, and the 3' end, to which the tRNAs corresponding amino acid is attached (by aminoacyl-tRNA synthetases). tRNAs cope with the degeneracy of the genetic code in two manners: having more than one tRNA (with a specific anti-codon) for a particular amino acid; and 'wobble' base-pairing, i.e. permitting non-standard base-pairing at the 3rd anti-codon position. The record is from RNAcentral. RNAcentral also lists the same sequence under 2 other names. Lineage: Bacteria; Bacillati; Actinomycetota; Thermoleophilia; Solirubrobacterales; Solirubrobacteraceae.
UGGGGAAUGGUGUAACGGCAGCACGCGACGCUCUGGACGUCGAAGUUGGGGUUCGAAUCCCUGUUCCCCAG